Molecule: ribosomal RNA, 498 nt
Filed under: uncultured bacterium
Lineage: Bacteria
Description: partial 16S ribosomal RNA
Rfam family: Bacterial small subunit ribosomal RNA
Source: RNAcentral
AUUGAACGCUGGCGGCAUGCCUUACACAUGCAAGUCGAACGGUAACAGGUCUUCGGAUGCUGACGAGUGGCGAACGGGUGAGUAAUACAUCGGAACGUGCCUAGUAGUGGGGGAUAACUACUCGAAAGAGUGGCUAAUACCGCAUGAGAUCUACGGAUGAAAGCAGGGGAUCGCAAGACCUUGUGCUACUAGAGCGGCCGAUGGCAGAUUAGGUAGGUGGUGGGAUAAAAGCUUACCAAGCCGACGACCUGGAGCGGGUCUGAGAGGACGAUCAGCCACACUGGGACUGAGAGACGGCCCAGACUCCUACGGGAGGCAGCAGUGGGGAAUUUUUGACAAUGGGCGAAAGCCUGAUCCAGCAAUGCCGCGUGCAGGAUGAAGGCCUUCGGGUUGUAAACUGCUUUUGUACGGAACGAAAAGCCCCGGGUUAAUACCCUGGGGUCAUGACGGUACCGUAAGAAUAAGCACCGGCUAACUACGUGCCAGCCGCCGCAGUAA